GUGCUCACUUUGGCAGCACAUAUACUAAAAUUGGAACGAUACAGAGAAGAUUAGCAUGGCCCCUGUGCAAGGACAAGUAACAGAAAUCCCCCCUCUCAUG
Tupaia belangeri (northern tree shrew) is the source of this 100-nucleotide small nuclear RNA. The record is from Ensembl. Lineage: Eukaryota; Metazoa; Chordata; Mammalia; Scandentia; Tupaiidae.